This 1747-nucleotide long non-coding RNA is filed under the name Carica papaya (papaya). RNAcentral describes it as "long non-coding RNA (CPAP_LNC015550)". Lineage: Eukaryota; Viridiplantae; Streptophyta; Magnoliopsida; Brassicales; Caricaceae. The record is from RNAcentral.
ACCAUACUCAAUAUCUAUACUACCAUCAAUUCUACAUAUUCCAUUCAGUCAAAACAAAACGAAACUCUUCAUCCUGUACUCUACACAUUAGGUUCGGAAUCCAACAACUUCGAUCCAGACUCCGUCCCUACAUCAUCUGUAAAAAGAGAAAGAGUGAGUUCAUUUAACUCAGUAUGGUAAAACUCAAAAUACAUGCGUGAGGUGCAACAAUAUAAAACCCUAUGCCUCUACCAAUAGUUCACUACUGAACUCCAAUUUUUCCUCCUGCACCUACAACUCUACCUACCCUAGGUGUCCGUUCCUUGAUGGCACUCCAGGCGUACCAGUGGUAUCAUUCACUGCUAAGAUUUGGCAACCAUUAACACCUUUCGACCCCUAGUGGCCACGCACGCACACGAGUUUCAAUCAUUUUCGUCACCAACAGCGGCGACCAUCAUUCACCUAUCGAUCCCCUAUCAGGCCACACACACACACUCUAAUCCUUCUCUCCCGUCAUCACCAUCGGCAACCGUUCGCCAUCUCACGACCUAUACCAGGCCACUCACACACACCCGAUUUUUCUUCACUUGCGUCACCAACAUCGGCGACCGUUAGCCAUCUCUCGACCUAUACUAGGCCACUCACACACGCUCUGACCAUUCCCUCUCGUCACCGAUAUCGGCGACCACUAACCAUCUCUCGACUUAUACUAGGCCACGCACGCACACCAUUUUCAUUCAUUUGAUUUUCGUCACUAACAUCGGCGACCGUUAGCCAUCUCUCGAUCCAUACCAGGCCACUCACACACACUCUGAUCAUUCCCUCUCGUCACGGAUAUCGGCAACCAUAAACCAUCUCUCGACCUAGACCAAGCCACGCACGCACACCAUUUUCAUUCAUUUGCGUCGCCAACCUCGGCAAUCAUCGUCUACCUAUCGACCCCCGUCGACCACACACACACACAUCACUCCUUCUCGUCCACUGUCUCUCUCUCCGCCUGCUGUCUGUGACAUGUCCUAAUUGCCCCCACUCACCCCGUCAUUCUUCCCCCAAGGCUCCAGCUACCCCACUCCAUUUCCCCAAGCAUGUCACUCACCUGGUAGAUCUUUCCCUUCUCCAACAUUCACUCCCUGUCUCUCCUUAACUCUCUAUCGGGCUACAACCUCCCGCCACACCAUCACGCCACACCAUUCUUCUCACCUCACUCACCCCGCCGGUUCUACCCUUCCCAGCGUUUCCCCACUGCCUCUACCUAUCUCUUUCUCAGACUACGUCCUCACACCACAACAUCUCCCUAUCUCCUUCCGCGUUGCUCACACAGUCCGCUCUCUCCCACACUGCUUUCUCGCCUGUAUCGUCACCUUCUCUCUCUCUCCUCCUGUGAUUCUCACGCGGUCACUUCCUUCGUUCACGCACCUCUUUUCUCUCUCCCGACCUCCGCCCGUACUGUCGCCUUCUCCCUCUCUCCUCCCGCGAUCCUCACUCGGUCCGCUUCCUUCCACCCGCGUCACCACAUAUCCUCACCCAGCCUCUUCCGUAUACUCCUACCUCCGUAAGCCGUGGCCACGCACGCCACACAUCCAACCAUUUCACAGUCAAAUCAACACACACAUUUAGAGUUUGGUACCGUACCUCCCAUUUCCAUUUUUCCCUCUUUCAGCCGAAUCUGCUAUCACCGUCCGCGAUCUCCUCUUAUCUCCGCUCUGCUUCCUUUCUCCCUCCUUCUGGAACCUUCCUUCCUCUUCUCUCUCUCUCCCACUCCCCUUCU